This is a non-coding RNA of Microcebus murinus (gray mouse lemur), 427 nucleotides long. NCBI's taxonomy places the organism in Eukaryota, Metazoa, Chordata, Mammalia, Primates, Cheirogaleidae. The record is from RefSeq and is a predicted model, not a curated record.
AAACUGGUAUUAACUGAACAGCACCUAAGUGGACACACAGAUAAUAUGAAGAAGGAUGAUAAAACUGAGCCUACAAAGAACAGCCAUGGUUUUAUAGCACAUUCUCUAGCCCUAAAGUGCAACUCCUGGCAUGCAGGAACAUGGAAUUCUGUCCUAAAUUGCCCUGUGAUAUCUUUCAUGACAGCACCACCCAACUUAGAUCCUCAGAGGAAGGCCACGCGCCUUUCAGCUGCCUAGACGAUGGGUGCUGCCUCUGCGGUCAGGGCUCCAGUGUCUCUGCAGAGAAAAGAAGAGGGCUUUGAACAAGGACAGGAGGUGGACAAAAAAGGGAGUCAGGGAUUGUUGGGAAUGCAAAUUAUAUUUGUUCACACAGCCUGUGCGAUCUAACCAUUACUUUUAAAAAUUAAGCAUGCUAUCUUUAAAGGCA